Molecule: ribosomal RNA, 496 nt
Filed under: uncultured bacterium
Lineage: Bacteria
Description: partial 16S ribosomal RNA
Rfam family: Bacterial small subunit ribosomal RNA
Source: RNAcentral
GAUGAACGCUGGCGGCGUGCCUAAUACAUGCAAGUCGAGCGAACAGACGAGGAGCUUGCUCCUCUGACGUUAGCGGCGGACGGGUGAGUAACACGUGGAUAACCUACCUAUAAGACUGGGAUAACUUCGGGAAACCGGAGCUAAUACCGGAUAAUAUAUUGAACCGCAUGGUUCAAUAGUGAAAGACGGUUUUGCUGUCACUUAUAGAUGGAUCCGCGCCGCAUUAGCUAGUUGGUAAGGUAACGGCUUACCAAGGCAACGAUGCGUAGCCGACCUGAGAGGGUGAUCGGCCACACUGGACCUGAGACACGGUCCAGACUCCUACGGGAGGCAGCAGUAGGGAAUCUUCCGCAAUGGGCGAAAGCUUGACGGAGCAACGCCGCGUGAGUGAUGAAGGUCUUCGGAUCGUAAAACGCUGUUAUUAGGGAAGAACAAAUGUGUAAGUAACUAUGCACGUCUUGACGGUACCUAAGCAGAAAGCCACGGCUAACUACGU